This 22-nucleotide ribosomal RNA is filed under the name Hindakia tetrachotoma. Its description in RNAcentral is "partial 28S ribosomal RNA". Lineage: Eukaryota; Viridiplantae; Chlorophyta; Trebouxiophyceae; Chlorellales; Chlorellaceae. The record is from RNAcentral.
UCGACCUGAGCCUMAGGCAGAC